ACGGGUGAGUAAUGCCUAGGAAUCUGCCUGGUAGUGGGGGAUAACGCUCGGAAACGGACGCUAAUACCGCAUACGUCCUACGGGAGAAAGCAGGGGACCUUCGGGCCUUGCGCUAUCAGAUGAGCCUAGGUCGGAUUAGCUAGUUGGUGAGGUAAUGGCUCACCAAGGCGACGAUCCGUAACUGGUCUGAGAGGAUGAUCAGUCACACUGGAACUGAGACACGGUCCAGACUCCUACGGGAGGCAGCAGUGGGGAAUAUUGGACAAUGGGCGAAAGCCUGAUCCAGCCAUGCCGCGUGUGUGAAGAAGGUCUUCGGAUUGUAAAGCACUUUAAGUUGGGAGGAAGGGCAGUAAAUUAAUACUUUGCUGUUUUGACGUUACCGACAGAAUAAGCACCGGCUAACUCUGUGCCAGCAGCCGCGGUAAUACAGAGGGUGCAAGCGUUAAUCGGAAUUACUGGGCGUAAAGCGCGCGUAGGUGGUUUGUUAAGUUGGAUGUGAAAUCCCCGGGCUCAACCUGGGAACUGCAUUCAAAACUGACAAGCUAGAGUAUGGUAGAGGGUGGUGGAAUUUCCUGUGUAGCGGUG
RNAcentral lists this ribosomal RNA (585 nucleotides) under Pseudomonas sp. StFRB045. RNAcentral's name for it is "bacterial SSU rRNA". It matches the Rfam family "Bacterial small subunit ribosomal RNA", at positions 102 to 683 of the family's 1533-position model. The record is from RNAcentral. Lineage: Bacteria; Pseudomonadati; Pseudomonadota; Gammaproteobacteria; Pseudomonadales; Pseudomonadaceae.